CUUAGCUUCCUUGUUUAUAAAUUAGAAAUAGUAACAGUGCCAAACAUUGGAUGAUUGUUAGGACUGAAAAGAUAAUGCUUUUAACUAGUAUCUGACUGAAUAAAGUUCAGAAUAAAAGUUGCCAUCUAUUAUUUUUAUAUCUAAUUCUGACCUGGAAGAAAGCUAGUCAUAUCAGGUCCACUAGAAGUAUCCAUAGCUAACUAGUAAGUUCUUGCCUGGAAUGUGCCCUGGUUCUCACAGCCUAGCUGGCUGCUUGAGGAAAAAGCAUGAUUUUGUUCUUACUACCAUCUCUUACCACACUCUCUCUUCCCUUGGCCUUGGGAGCUCUAUCCUGGAAUCCCUCCCACCUCUCAAGACAAAGGGACAAGUGUCCUUUUGGAGGUAUUAAUGAUAUGGCCCAGAUCUUCCAGGCCUAUUGUGGCUCCCACCUUGGAUUCCAUCUUAGCUUCAGAGGAAGUGCACACCCAGGAACUUGGAAGCAAACUGCUACAUCCACGUUUUCCAUUCAGAUCACCAAAUUGAAUCUGCUUGCAAAUGUCCAGCCUGGUGUGCGUUCUCCGUGAUUUAUCCUGAAUGGAUAAAACAUUAAUGAAGAAAAUCAAAACAAAUGCAUCUCCCAGACUCUCCAGCAAGGAUGUUUUUUUACACAGUCUAUCUGAGAAAGAAGACAAGAGGAUGGAGAGGAAAAGCCGUCUCCAUGUGACUCCUUGGCAUUUCAUCAUCAAUCAGCAUAAAGUCAGAAACAUCACUAAGUAUUGAAGUUGAAAUUAACUGCAACCUCUGACGGAAAAGUACUUAUUUAGAAUCUUUCAGUUAGUUUCUGUAAUGAAAUAUGGCAAUGAAUUAGCCACACGAUGGUCUGGAGAAAGGUGCUUAAUAAGAAAAACUGCUCAUGUUGGGAAGCCAAGUUCUUCUCAUGUUUAUUUUAGUGACCUCUCCUCUUCCUUUCUCCCUUCUCCCCACCACCCCCCAAAGCUGUCCUUUUGUGAAGCCAUCAUGGCUGACAACAGAGGCAAAUUGUUCUGAAGAACUUUGAUUAGACUUAAAUUUUGCAAGGUGUCAGGAGCCCUUGUAAUUGUUAAAAGUCCAGAGGCUCUCAAAGAUUGGUAUUCAAAAGAGAGGCAGAGUGUACAAGGGUUAGAGGUUGGGGUUCUGCAGCCCCACUACUUGGAUUGGAAACUGGUCCCCCAACAUUUACUCCUGAGACCUUGAGGAAGUCACUUGGUGUGAGCCUCAGUUUCUUCAUCUGUAAAAUAGGUACAAUAAUAACAAAACUCAUGUCAUGGGUAGGUAUUAUGAUAUCAAAAAAAAAAGCUAGAAUAGAAUAGAAUCUGAUACCUAGAAAUAAUCUUUAAAUGGUUACUGCUUUUGUGUAGGAAAAAUUUAGGAUGUGUUUUUAAAAUGUAGAUCUCUGGAUUCCCACUUUGAGAGAUUCCAACUUAUUAAAUGUGAAUCAGAGCCCAGAUAUCUGUAUUUUUAUCAACAUCCCAGGUACUCCUGAACCACACUUGAAGUGGCACAGAUUUGACCAAACCCCCUGUUUGGAAGAUAAGAAAAAUGAGUUCUAGAAGGCAAAAUGCCAGUGUCAAGGUAAACAGUGAUCCACCUGAUAUCUCAAGCCCCUCAUCUUCCAUUCUAACUAAUGUGGUCUCCAUCAUAGCCACCUCCAUUUAUUGAGCCUUUAGUAUGAGGUUCUUAACCAGAAGGGCAUAUCAGAAACACCUAAAGAGCCUUUCCAAAUACUCAAGGUCAUUGUCCAGCCCAGAUCUGUGGAAUUUCAUGACAAGUGGCAGAUCUCAGACCUGAACCCAAUGGUCCCUGAUUGUUUUAUGGUACCAGCUAACUUUUCAUUAGCUUCUCAUGCUCAUCUUAGGCUAGAGCUGAGGGCAUAUACUUUAACUCAUAUUUGAGUCAUUUUUCUUUCCUAACCAUACUGCUGGAUUAUGGUACUAUAACAGAUAUAAAUUAUUAACUAAUAAAUAUAUUUUCAGUUUAUUUCUCUUUCCUUCA
RNAcentral lists this long non-coding RNA (2010 nucleotides) under Vulpes vulpes (red fox). Its description in RNAcentral is "lncRNA (ENSVVUG00000014556.1)". The record is from RNAcentral. Lineage: Eukaryota; Metazoa; Chordata; Mammalia; Carnivora; Canidae.